Molecule: ribosomal RNA, 1495 nt
Filed under: uncultured bacterium
Lineage: Bacteria
Description: partial 16S ribosomal RNA
Rfam family: Bacterial small subunit ribosomal RNA
Source: RNAcentral
AGAGUUUGAUCCUGGCUCAGGAUAAACGCUAGCGGCAGGCUUAACACAUGCAAGUCGAGGGGCAGCGGGGAGGAAGCUUGCUUUCUCCGCCGGCGACCGGCGCACGGGUGAGUAACACGUAUGCAACCUGCCCCUGUCAGGGGGACAACCCGCCGAAAGGCGGGCUAAACCCGCGUACAUGCCACCGGGGCAUCCCGGAGGCAGGAAAGGCUUCGGCCGGACAGGGAUGGGCAUGCGGCGCAUUAGGCAGUAGGCGGGGUAACGGCCCACCUAACCGACGAUGCGUAGGGGUUCUGAGAGGAAGGUCCCCCACACUGGUACUGAGACACGGACCAGACUCCUACGGGAGGCAGCAGUGAGGAAUAUUGGUCAAUGGUCGGGAGACUGAACCAGCCAAGCCGCGUGAGGGAUGAAGGUACAGAGUAUCGUAAACCUCUUUUGUCAGGGAACAAAGGCGGGGACGUGUCCCCGGAUGAGUGUACCUGAAGAAAAAGCAUCGGCUAACUCCGUGCCAGCAGCCGCGGUAAUACGGAGGAUGCGAGCGUUAUCCGGAUUUAUUGGGUUUAAAGGGUGCGCAGGCGGUCUGUUAAGUCAGCGGUCAAAGCCCGGGGCUCAACCCCGGCCCGCCGUUGAAACUGGCAGUCUCGAGUUGGAGAGAAGUAUGCGGAAUGCGCGGUGUAGCGGUGAAAUGCAUAGAUAUCGCGCAGAACUCCGAUUGCGAAGGCAGCAUGCCGGCUCCACACUGACGCUGAGGCACGAAAGCGUGGGUAUCGAACAGGAUUAGAUACCCUGGUAGUCCACGCAGUAAACGAUGAAUGCUGGCUGUCCGGGGGGGGAUUGACCCCUGGGUGGCGAAGCGAAAGCGAUAAGCAUUCCACCUGGGGAGUACGCCGGCAACGGUGAAACUCAAAGGAAUUGACGGGGGCCCGCACAAGCGGAGGAACAUGUGGUUUAAUUCGAUGAUACGCGAGGAACCUUACCCGGGCUCAAACGGGGAGUGACUCAGGCAGAGACGCCUGUUUCCCACGGGACACUCCCCGAGGUGCUGCAUGGUUGUCGUCAGCUCGUGCCGUGAGGUGUCGGCUUAAGUGCCAUAACGAGCGCAACCCCCGCGUGCAGUUGCUAACAGAUAACGCUGAGGACUCUGCACGGACUGCCGGCGCAAGCCGCGAGGAAGGCGGGGAUGACGUCAAAUCAGCACGGCCCUUACGUCCGGGGCGACACACGUGUUACAAUGGGUGGUACAGCGGGAAGCCAGGCGGCGACGCCGAGCGGAACCCGAAAUCCACUCUCAGUUCGGAUCGGAGUCUGCAACCCGACUCCGUGAAGCUGGAUUCGCUAGUAAUCGCGCAUCAGCCAUGGCGCGGUGAAUACGUUCCCGGGCCUUGUACACACCGCCCGUCAAGCCAUGGGAGCCGAGGGCGCUUGAAGUGCGUCGCCGCGAGGCGCGCCCUAGAGCGAAAUCGGUGACUGGGGCUAAGUCGUAACAAGGUAA